This 243-nucleotide unclassified non-coding RNA is filed under the name uncultured Basidiomycota. RNAcentral describes it as "sequence contains ITS1". Lineage: Eukaryota; Fungi; Basidiomycota. The record is from RNAcentral.
UUGAAUACAACUGAUUGAAUUGUUGCUGGCUUUUAAAAGCAUGUGCACAUUCAAUCUACUGUUAACCACCUGUGCACUUUGUGUAGAUUUUGAACAAUCUUCAAGGCUUAAUAAAAAGUACUUGGUUAAAGAAUUUGCUGUGGUUUCUAAGCUUUAGCUUUUCUUGCGUUCAAAUCUAUGUUCUAUUAUUUAACUCCUGUAUCAGAAAGUAAUUCUUGGGCUAUUAUGCCUUUAAUCACAAUA